GCGCGGGUGGGGGCGCGGGGUUGAAUGCGCCAUGUUGUGCAGCGGUAAAAUUAUCCAGAAUGGAGCCAUUUAAACCUCCGGAUCCCCCUGUGUCUUGAAGGGAAUAUAACGGAAAACUGGAAACGCUGCGAACAACGAUUCAAGUUGUACUUGAAGGCCACGGGGGCCGACGGCAAGACGGAACAUGUCAAAGUGGCGAUUCUCCUCUCAUCGUGUUGGGGAGGACGGAUUGGAAGUGUUUUACCCCUUUGAUUCUGGUGACGGAUCGACCACAAUACGUCAGUAUCGAACUCUCUGUUUCGUGCAACAUUACCGGAUAAUAUUAAUAAACCAAGAUGGCAGACACCAGUCCUUUUUCACUGGAAGAGAGGCUGGCAGCAAUGGUGUGGUACCACGAGAGGAGAAACACGGAUGCACUCGGUUUAAGGAGAGACCAAAUCAGCUACACAGGUUUGACGAAGCGUCAGGACGACAUGGAAGGCAGCCACCAUCGAGAAAAACGAUUCGACAAGGUGAUCGGCAAGAUGGGAUGGACUGGAGGUUCCAAGGCGGCUCAGGUGACGUACCUGAGGUGCUGCGUCCAAUUAGGUGGCGCUUUAUAAAGCCCAGCACUGCUCUGCCACCAUCACCGUCCCCGUCCCGUGCACUUUAA
RNAcentral lists this long non-coding RNA (652 nucleotides) under Eptatretus burgeri (inshore hagfish). RNAcentral's name for it is "lncRNA (ENSEBUG00000017345.1)". The record is from RNAcentral. Lineage: Eukaryota; Metazoa; Chordata; Myxini; Myxiniformes; Myxinidae.